Non-coding RNA from Bacillus sp. CHD6a, 42 nucleotides. The record is from Rfam. NCBI's taxonomy places the organism in Bacteria, Bacillati, Bacillota, Bacilli, Caryophanales, Bacillaceae.
ACGAUGUUCCGCUGCAUCAAAUAAGUAUGGUAUGAGCAUCUG